Molecule: ribosomal RNA, 253 nt
Filed under: uncultured bacterium
Lineage: Bacteria
Description: partial 16S ribosomal RNA
Rfam family: Bacterial small subunit ribosomal RNA
Source: RNAcentral
UACGAAGGGGGCUAGCGUUGUUCGGAAUCACUGGGCGUAAAGGGUACGUAGGCGGCGUGUUAAGUCAGAGGGGAAAUCCUGGAGCUCAACUCCAGAACUGCCUUUGAUACUGGAGAGCUUGAGUCCGGGAGAGGUGAGUGGAACUGCGAGUGUAGAGGUGAAAUUCGUAGAUAUUCGCAAGAACACCAGUGGCGAAGGCGGCUCACUGGCCCGGUACUGACGCUGAGGUGCGAAAGCGUGGGGAGCAAACAGG